Molecule: ribosomal RNA, 208 nt
Filed under: uncultured bacterium
Lineage: Bacteria
Description: partial 16S ribosomal RNA
Rfam family: Bacterial small subunit ribosomal RNA
Source: RNAcentral
CGCGUAGGCGGUUUUGUUAAGUCGGAUGUGAAAGCCCCGGGCUCAACCUGGGAACUGCACCCGAUACUGGCCGACUAGAGUACGAGAGAGGGAGGUAGAAUUCCACGUGUAGCGGUGAAAUGCGUAGAUAUGUGGAGGAAUACCGGUGGCGAAGGCGGCCUCCUGGCUCGAUGCUGACGCUGAGGUGCGAAAGCGUGGGGAGCAAACA